GUCUAUGGCCAUGCUACCCUGAACAAGCCCAAUCUCUUCUGAUCUUGGAAGCUAAGCAGGGUCGGGCCUGGUUAGUACUUGGAUGAUAGACCACAUAGGAAGACCAGGUUCUAUACGUG
Ribosomal RNA from Pteropus vampyrus (large flying fox), 119 nucleotides. The record is from Ensembl. Lineage: Eukaryota; Metazoa; Chordata; Mammalia; Chiroptera; Pteropodidae.